Molecule: ribosomal RNA, 429 nt
Filed under: uncultured soil bacterium
Lineage: Bacteria
Description: bacterial SSU rRNA
Rfam family: Bacterial small subunit ribosomal RNA
Source: RNAcentral
GAACCUUACCAGCCCUUGACAUGGGACUCGCCGGGAGCAGAGACGCUCCCUUCGGUUCGGCCGGAGUCCGCACAGGUGCUGCAUGGCUGUCGUCAGUUCGUGUCGUGAGAUGUUGGGUUAAGUCCCGCAACGAGCGCAACCCUCGUCUCCAGUUGCCAUCAGGUUAAGCUGGGCACUUUGGAGAAACUGCCGGUGACAAGCCGGAGGAAGGUGGGGAUGACGUCAAGUCCUCAUGGCCCUUACGGGCUGGGCUACACACGUGCUACAAUGGCGGUGACAAUGGGAUGCGAAGGUGCGAGCCGGAGCCGAUCCCAAAAAGCCGUCUCAGUUCGGAUUGCACUCUGCAACUCGAGUGCAUGAAGGUGGAAUCGCUAGUAAUCGCGGAUCAGCAUGCCGCGGUGAAUACGUUCCCGGGCCUUGUCACACCGA